RNAcentral lists this unclassified non-coding RNA (778 nucleotides) under Zea mays. RNAcentral's name for it is "misc RNA Zm00001eb343500". The record is from RNAcentral. Lineage: Eukaryota; Viridiplantae; Streptophyta; Magnoliopsida; Poales; Poaceae.
GUUCCAUAAUAACGAUCGUUCAGUUCUUUUUAUCGCCGAUUUGUUCAGGCCAUUCGAGUUCCCGCCCUUUUCUCUUGUUUCCUUCCCUAUCUUAAGUUUGUAACCAAAGAUAUAAAAGAAGUUACAGAAGUUCUGUUUGGAAUUAGAAUGAAAGAUUUGCCAUGCUCAUGCACUCAUGCUACAGCAGUUCAGUGCGCAGCUCUGCAGAAGAACAAAGCGAAGCCACGCUGUAGAACUGCCGGCGGUCCGACCCGUGGCUCCGGAGGCGCGACGCGAGCGCGCCAAUCCUGGGCCGGACCACGAGCGCCACGCGUACCGCGGCCUUGACCACGGCGUACGCCGCGACCGCGCGCGCCAGCCUCAGGUCGGCCGCGGCCAAACCGGCGACGCGCGCGGCCAGGCCCGCCAGCCUGCGCGCGUCGGACGCGGCGAGCGCGAGCGUCACGAGCAGCGCGCCCGCGAGGGAGGCCAGCAGCGCCAGCGAGGCGGCGACGAGGAGCCCGCCGGAGAAGGCGCAGGCGUAGAGGAGCGCGACGAUGAGGAGGCCGAGGUGGUGCGCCAUCGCGUGCUCGCGAGCCACCAAAGGCGGCCGCGGGGAGACGGCUGUCGUGAUAAGGAGAGGAAUCGUGCCCUUGCAUUAGGUCUGGGAUCCCUUCGUUUCGUUGUUGCAUGCAUUGAGCGUUUUGGUAUGCUUCCCACGGUGGCGAGUGUCGGCCGGAAGUUCUCAGCAAGCGAACUUGCAGCCUCCCAGUUCCCACACGUCAAAAAAUUUACUCCA